RNAcentral lists this ribosomal RNA (439 nucleotides) under uncultured bacterium. RNAcentral's name for it is "bacterial SSU rRNA". It matches the Rfam family "Bacterial small subunit ribosomal RNA", at positions 958 to 1397 of the family's 1533-position model. The record is from RNAcentral.
AACGCGAAGAACCUUACCUGGGCUCGAAAUGUAGUGGAAUCCGGUAGAAAUAUCGGCGUCUAGCAAUAGACCGCUAUAUAGGUGCUGCAUGGCUGUCGUCAGCUCGUGUCGUGAGAUGUUGGGUUAAGUCCCGCAACGAGCGCAACCCUUACCUCUAGUUGCUACCAUUUAGUUGAGCACUCUAGCGGAACCGCCUCGGAUAACGGGGAGGAAGGUGGGGAUGAGGUCAAGUCAGCAUGGCCUUUAUGUCCAGGGCUACACACGUGUUACAAUGCGCGCCACAAAGCGUUGCAAACCCGCGAGGGGGAGCUAAUCGCAAAAAAGCGCGCUCAGUUCGGAUUGCAGUCUGCAACUCGACUGCAUGAAGCCGGAAUCGCUAGUAAUGGCGCAUCAGAACGGCGCCGUGAAUACGUUCCCGGGCCUUGUACACACCGAUAGC